CGAAUCCCAGACCCACCGGAGAGCAGCACCCAGUCCAUCCCACUGCACCACUGCACCACCACGCACCCCAUUAGGAAAUCAGUCAUACCUUCUCUCCAUCAUCUUCACAAACUCCCUCCUCAUGACGUAACCUCGGCACAAUGCCUGAGUCAUGGUGACCAAAGUUGCCAACUUUUCAUCUCUCAUCUCCUCCAGCUGGCCCAGCAGACCAGCUUUGAAGAACACCUACCAGCAGCCCUGAGAAGACCGCCGUUUGUGGAACAAGUUCAAGAUUCCCGUUGUAAGAGUGGCUCUUAAGCAGCUCUUCCAGAUGGAAUGACAUGAGGAAACAUGCAAUACUCAGAGUUUCUGGAGCUGUU
Long non-coding RNA from Scleropages formosus (Asian bonytongue), 359 nucleotides. RefSeq lists it as uncharacterized. NCBI's taxonomy places the organism in Eukaryota, Metazoa, Chordata, Actinopteri, Osteoglossiformes, Osteoglossidae. The transcript has 4 exons. The record is from RefSeq and is a predicted model, not a curated record.